ACCUGGAAGAGCUCAGCAGUCUGAAGCGUGGCGGGAAAAGACAGGAUUCUGGGCUAGAAAGGGUGUGGAAGACUGCAGAAGAAGGCUGCUGAGUUCUGGUCGGUGGUGGAAGGAGGGAACGCAUUUAAAGGGGCCAAGGCCCAGAAUAAGGUAGACAUUUAAAGGGACAGGUGCCCCAAAGAGAAGAAACAUAUAAAUAUAAAAGUGCAGAUGCCCUGGAUAGAGCCGACCCUAGAAGAACCGAGCUCUGCAGGCAGAAGACAUUUUUAACUGGUAGGUUCGGGAGAGAAGGACAUUUUAAUAAAGGAGACUAGGACGGAGCAUAGAAGACAUUAAAAGAGGUAUGGGCUAGAGUUUAAGAACACGUUUACUAAACGGACAGGGAUAAAGGAGUCGAUUGUCAAGGGCCUGAUGAGGAAAACUAUGCACUCCUCCUCUUCCCCAUUGUCCUUUCUGGCUCCUCCAGGUUCCCUCCACCCCGGAAUCCCUGUUCCCAAGCUAUGACCCCCAGUGCCCUGUAGACCUGGCGGGCCCCCAGUGCUUGCGACCCCUAUUUGGGGGUCUGGGUGGCUACUGGAGGGCCUUCCAGAGGGGCAGAGAAGGCAGGACCAUGGCAUCUAGGGCCUCUGAACCUCCGCCAGGGCGCAACGUGACAGCGGGCAUCAUCAUUGUUGGAGAUGAGAUCCUCAAGGGACACACUCAAGACACCAACACCUACUUUCUGUGCCGGACACUGCGUUCCCUGGGGGUCCAGGUGUGCCGAGUCUCCGUGGUACCCGACGAGGUAGCCACCAUCGCAGCUGAGGUCACAGCUUUCUCCAGCCGUUUCACCCACGUCCUCACAGCAGGGGGCAUCGGCCCCACACAUGAUGAUGUGACCUUUGAGGCAGUGGCCCAGGCCUUUGGGGACGAGCUUAAGCCACACCCUGAGCUGGAAGCGGCCAUCAAGGCCCUAGGAGGGGCGGGCUGGGAGAAACUGUCGCGGGUGCCUGCCUCUGCCCGCCUGCAUUAUGGCACAGAUCCUCGCACUGGCCACCCCUUCCGAUUCCCACUAGUCUCCGUCCGAAAUGUCUACCUCUUCCCGGGAAUUCCGGAGCUGCUGCGUCGGGUGCUGGAAGGGCUGAAGGGGCUGUUCCAAAACACAGCUGUUCAGUUCCACUUGCGGGAAAUGUAUGUGGCAGCUAACGAGGCCUCUAUCGCCCCCAUCCUGGCUGAGGCCCAGGCCCAUUUUGGGCGCAGGCUUGGCCUGGGUUCCUACCCUGACUGGGGCAGCAACUACUAUCAGGUGAAGCUGACACUGGACUCGGAGGAAGAAGGGCCCCUGGAGGAAUGCCUGGCCUACCUGACCGCCCGUCUGCCCCAGGGAUCAGUGGUCCCCUACGUGCCCAAUGCCGUGGAGCAGGCCGGUGAGGCCGUGUACAAACUCACUGAGUCAGGUAGGGGCCUUCUGGGGAAGGGGCAGAAGGCACCAGACCACUGGUGCCACCCUAGGUCUUAGGAGUGGUGGGCUGUUGGAGGCUUGCCGCAGAUCCAAGAGAAGGUAGAAGAUAGCUACAGCAGAUUCAUUCAUUCUUCCAAUAAACAUCAAUUGAGUACCUCCUUUCAGCAACAUUGUGCUGGGUGUUGGGGGUUUAGCUCAACAGGACAGAGGUACCCUUGCUCUGGACAAGUAGUUUUAUUUAACAGGAGAGGGGGAUGUUAAAAAGGUAAUUGUGCAAAAAAAAAAAGGUAAUUGUGCAUGAGGGGUCAGUGAUGAGGGGGUUUCCACAGCAGGGAGAUUAGCCUUGAUCUGGGGUCAGAGAAGGCUUCCCUGCAUGACUGACAUAUAAGCUGAGUGAUAAGGAGGAUUUUCACAUGGCGCUAGUGGUAAAAAACCCCCCUGCCAAUGCAGAAGACUUAAGAGACACAGGUUCGAUCCCUAGGUCAGGAAGAUCCCCUGGAGGAGAGCAUAGCAAUCCACUCCAAUAUUCUUGCCUGGAGAAUCCAGUGGACAGAGGAGCCUGGCGGGAUACAGUCCGUAGGGUCACAAAGAGACACAACUGAAGCGACUUAGCACACACACACGCAAGAAGAAUUUGGUUAGACCAGGAGAUGAGCAAGAGGAAACAGUGUGAAAGAGGGAAGGAAACAGCAGGAGCUUUAGGAGAAUGAAAAGAAACCAGGACCCCCAGAGGGAAUACACUGAGGUGAAGAAUACCGUGAGGGUCUUCUCUGGGGGAGAAGGUGGCAGGCGCCCUCCAGACCAUUGAGACUGCCCUGGCUCGAUACAGCCUCACCCAGCUCUGCGUGGGCUUCAACGGGGGCAAGGACUGCACUGCCCUCCUGCACCUCUUCCA
This is an RNA transcript of Cervus elaphus (red deer), 2336 nucleotides long. It is a transcript of the gene named flavin adenine dinucleotide synthetase 1, with no coding region annotated. NCBI's taxonomy places the organism in Eukaryota, Metazoa, Chordata, Mammalia, Artiodactyla, Cervidae. The transcript is spliced from 3 exons. The record is from RefSeq and is a predicted model, not a curated record.